This 476-nucleotide ribosomal RNA is filed under the name Caesio teres (yellow and blueback fusilier). Its description in RNAcentral is "partial small subunit ribosomal RNA". It matches the Rfam family "Bacterial small subunit ribosomal RNA", at positions 788 to 1491 of the family's 1533-position model. Lineage: Eukaryota; Metazoa; Chordata; Actinopteri; Lutjaniformes; Lutjanidae. The record is from RNAcentral.
CACUAUGCCUAGCCAUAAACAUUGAUAGUAACCUACACCCACUAUCCGCCCGGGAACUACGAGCAUCAGCUUAAAACCCAAAGGACUUGGCGGUGCUUUAGAUCCACCUAGAGGAGCCUGUUCUAGAACCGAUUACCCCCGUUCAACCUCACCUUUCCUUGUCCCUCCCGCCUAUAUACCACCGUCGUCAGCUUACCCUGUGAAGGACUCAUAGUAAGCAAGAUUGGCAUAGCCCAAAACGUCAGGUCGAGGUGUAGCGUAUGGAAAGGGAAGAAAUGGGCUACAUUCCCUAACACAGAGAACUACGAAUGAUACGCUGAAAUACGUAUCUGAAGGAGGAUUUAGCAGUAAGCAGAAAAAAGAGCGUUCCGCUGAAACCGGCCCUGAAGCGCGCACACACCGCCCGUCACUCUCCCCGAGCUCAUCAACCUUAAAUACCUAAAACCUAAAUACUGCAAAGGGGAGGCAAGUCGUAA